GCCGAAAUAGCUCAGUUGGGAGAGCGUUAGACUGAAGAUCUAAAGGUCCCUGGUUCGGCCCCAGGUUUCGGCA
This is a non-coding RNA of Cordylochernes scorpioides, 73 nucleotides long. Lineage: Eukaryota; Metazoa; Arthropoda; Arachnida; Pseudoscorpiones; Chernetidae. The record is from the annotation of a GenBank genome assembly.